RNAcentral lists this ribosomal RNA (72 nucleotides) under Clostridium argentinense. RNAcentral's name for it is "partial 16S ribosomal RNA". It matches the Rfam family "Bacterial small subunit ribosomal RNA", at positions 1 to 70 of the family's 1533-position model. Lineage: Bacteria; Bacillati; Bacillota; Clostridia; Eubacteriales; Clostridiaceae. The record is from RNAcentral.
UUUAAAUUGAGAGUUUGAUCCUGGCUCAGGACGAACGCUGGCGGCGUGCCUAACACAUGCAAGUCGAGCGAU